Molecule: non-coding RNA, 207 nt
Organism: Pyrobaculum aerophilum str. IM2
Lineage: Archaea; Thermoproteati; Thermoproteota; Thermoprotei; Thermoproteales; Thermoproteaceae
Rfam family: RNaseP truncated form
Source: Rfam
GGGGCGCCGAGGGGACGGGGGGAGCCCGGAGACGGGCCCCUUCUGGAACCUCCCGCACCGCCCGCGGAGGCUCUCGGCGGGCCGCCGAAAGGCGGGGGUAAAAACCAGCCGGGGGCGCGGCCCCCAAGCAGGGCCUGUGAGGCCGCGGCGAGGCCCGGGUAGGGGGUGAGAUAGAUACCGAACAGAAGCGGGGGUACGCGGCGCCCC